RNAcentral lists this ribosomal RNA (157 nucleotides) under Ralstonia solanacearum. Its description in RNAcentral is "partial 16S rRNA". It matches the Rfam family "Bacterial small subunit ribosomal RNA", at positions 1211 to 1367 of the family's 1533-position model. The record is from RNAcentral. Lineage: Bacteria; Pseudomonadati; Pseudomonadota; Betaproteobacteria; Burkholderiales; Burkholderiaceae.
GGGCUUCACACGUCAUACAAUGGUGCAUACAGAGGGUUGCCAAGCCGCGAGGUGGAGCUAAUCCCAGAAAAUGCAUCGUAGUCCGGAUCGUAGUCUGCAACUCGACUACGUGAAGCUGGAAUCGCUAGUAAUCGCGGAUCAGCAUGCCGCGGUGAAU